Long non-coding RNA from Thalassophryne amazonica, 162 nucleotides. RefSeq lists it as uncharacterized. The record is from RefSeq and is a predicted model, not a curated record. The transcript has 3 exons. NCBI's taxonomy places the organism in Eukaryota, Metazoa, Chordata, Actinopteri, Batrachoidiformes, Batrachoididae.
UUUGAUUUAAUUUAACUUUUUUUUUAUUUGACAGGGACAAUACAAUCAGACAUAGCUACAAAUCAAAGCUUGUAGCUGAUGUGAUGCAUACAGAGUAUAGCAACAAGUGCUAAUUUACAACUCCCGUCCCUGGUUAGGCUUUUCUACUCUAACACGACCUAA